AAGGUAGUUCAGGAAAUUUAAACCGCUUCAGUUUGAACUUUUCUUUUUUUCACUCGUCUCCUUUAAAACUUUCCGUCCAGCCUCUCUCGCUCUCACUUCUGUGUUGACAGUCACUUGAAAGUUUGUCAAACUUCGCAGCGGGUGACCGCAGUGCAACAGGGUGCUGGAAGACAGAUAUCAGUACAGAAGAGGAAAAAGUGCACCGGGACACUGACCUCCCUCCCAAGCCAGACCGGCUCGUUGGUGUGGGGUCUCCGCCGCAGGACAGAAGGGGACAAACUGCCACCUGCCUCCCCUGCAGCUGUGUGUGAGAACAAAAAAUCAACUAGAAGAGCCGUGUGCCUGGUACUCUGGACCGGCAGUGAAUGUGGUUUGUCAUCUCCACUGGUUGUCUGGACAAGCAAUCAUCUCCUCUUUGUCAGGUAA
This 426-nucleotide long non-coding RNA is filed under the name Sinocyclocheilus anshuiensis. RNAcentral describes it as "lncRNA (ENSSANG00000006738.1)". Lineage: Eukaryota; Metazoa; Chordata; Actinopteri; Cypriniformes; Cyprinidae. The record is from RNAcentral.